This 537-nucleotide ribosomal RNA is filed under the name uncultured Pectobacterium sp. Its description in RNAcentral is "SSU rRNA". It matches the Rfam family "Bacterial small subunit ribosomal RNA", at positions 837 to 1374 of the family's 1533-position model. Lineage: Bacteria; Pseudomonadati; Pseudomonadota; Gammaproteobacteria; Enterobacterales; Pectobacteriaceae. The record is from RNAcentral.
GCGUGGCUUCCGGAGCUAACGCGUUAAGUCGACCGCCUGGGGAGUACGGCCGCAAGGUUAAAACUCAAAUGAAUUGACGGGGGCCCGCACAAGCGGUGGAGCAUGUGGUUUAAUUCGAUGCAACGCGAAGAACCUUACCUGGCCUUGACAUCCAGAGAACUUAGCAGAGAUGCUUUGGUGCCUUCGGGAACUCUGAGACAGGUGCUGCAUGGCUGUCGUCAGCUCGUGUUGUGAAAUGUUGGGUUAAGUCCCGCAACGAGCGCAACCCUUAUCCUUUGUUGCCAGCGGCUCGGCCGGGAACUCAAAGGAGACUGCCGGUGAUAAACCGGAGGAAGGUGGGGAUGACGUCAAGUCAUCAUGGCCCUUACGGCCAGGGCUACACACGUGCUACAAUGGCGCAUACAAAGAGAAGCGACCUCGCGAGAGCAAGCGGACCUCAUAAAGUGCGUCGUAGUCCGGAUUGGAGUCUGCAACUCGACUCCAUGAAGUCGGAAUCGCUAGUAAUCGUAGAUCAGAAUGCUACGGUGAAUACGUUCC